UGGAGCAUGUGGUUUAAUUCGAUGAUACGCGAGGAACCUUACCUGGGCUCGAACGUAAGAUGACUGUAGGUGAAAGCUUACAUCUCUUCGGAGCAUUUUACGAGGUGCUGCAUGGUUGUCGUCAGCUCGUGCCGUGAGGUGUCGGGUUAAGUCCCAUAACGAGCGCAACCCCUACCUUUAGUUGCCAUCAGGUUAAGCUGGGGACUCUAAAGGAACUGCCUACGCAAGUAGUGAGGAAGGCGGGGAUGACGCCAAAUCAGCACGGCCCUUACGUCCAGGGCUACACACGUGCUACAAUGGCCGAUACAGAGGGCAGCUACCUGGUGACAGGAUGCAAAUCUCCAAAGUCGGUCUCAGUUCGGAUCGGAGUCUGCAACCCGACUCCGUGAAGUUGGAUUCGCUAGUAAUCGCGCAUCAGCCAUGGCGCGGUGAAUACGUUCCCGGGCCUU
Molecule: ribosomal RNA, 449 nt
Filed under: uncultured Sphingobacteriales bacterium
Lineage: Bacteria; Pseudomonadati; Bacteroidota; Sphingobacteriia; Sphingobacteriales
Description: bacterial SSU rRNA
Rfam family: Bacterial small subunit ribosomal RNA
Source: RNAcentral